ACGGCCAUAUCACGCUGAAAUAGUAGUCCUCGUCCGAUCACUGAAGUUAAGCAAUGCCGAGCCUAGUAAGUACCUAGUGGGUGAGUGCAUGGGAAGACCAGUUGUUGUAA
This is a non-coding RNA of Acanthosepion pharaonis, 110 nucleotides long. The record is from the annotation of a GenBank genome assembly. Lineage: Eukaryota; Metazoa; Mollusca; Cephalopoda; Sepiida; Sepiidae.